GAUGAACGCUGACAGAAUGCUUAACACAUGCAAGUCAACUUGAACUUCGGUUUGGGUGGCGGACGGGUGAGUAACGCGUAAAGAACUUGCCUCACAGCUAGGGACAACAUUUGGAAACGAAUGCUAAUACCUGAUAUUAUGAUUAUAUGGCAUCGUAUAAUUAUGAAAGCUAUCUGCGCUGUGAGAGAGCUUUGCGUCCCAUUAGCUAGUUGGAGAGGUAACAGCUCACCAAGGCGAUGAUGGGUAGCCGGCCUGAGAGGGUGAUCGGCCACAAGGGGACUGAGACACGGCCCUUACGCCUACGGGAGGCAGCAGUGGGGAAUAUUGGAAGAUGGACCGAGAGUCUGAUCCAGCAAUUCUGUGUGCACGAUGAAGUUUUUCGGAAUGUAAAGUGCUUUCAGUUGGGAAGAAAAAAAUGACGGUACCAACAGAAAAAGUGACGGCUAAAUACGUG
Molecule: ribosomal RNA, 454 nt
Filed under: uncultured bacterium
Lineage: Bacteria
Description: partial 16S ribosomal RNA
Rfam family: Bacterial small subunit ribosomal RNA
Source: RNAcentral